Molecule: ribosomal RNA, 746 nt
Filed under: uncultured bacterium
Lineage: Bacteria
Description: bacterial SSU rRNA
Rfam family: Bacterial small subunit ribosomal RNA
Source: RNAcentral
AGAGUUUGAUCCUGGCUCAGGAUGAACGCUGGCGGUCUGCUUAACACAUGCAAGUCGAACGCAAGUAGAAAUACUUGAGUGGCGGACGGGUGAGUAACGCGUGAGAAUCUGCCUUUUGGUCGGGGACAACCACUGGAAACGGUGGCUAAUACCGGAUAUGCCUAACGGUGAAAGAUUAAUUGCCAGAAGAGGAGCUCGCGUCUGAUUAGCUAGUUGGUGAGGUAAGAGCUCACCAAGACAUCGAUCAGUAGCUGGUCUGAGAGGAUGAUCAGCCACACUGGGACUGAGACACGGCCCAGACUCCUACGGGAGGCAGCAGUGGGGAAUUUUCCGCAAUGGGCGAAAGCCUGACGGAGCAAGACCGCGUGAGGGAGGAAGGCUCUUGGGUUGUAAACCUCUUUUGUCAGGGAAGAACACAAUGACGGUACCUGAAGAAUCAGCAUCGGCUAACUCCGUGCCAGCAGCCGCGGUAAUACGGGGGAUGCAAGCGUUAUCCGGAAUUAUUGGGCGUAAAGCGUCCGCAGGUGGCUAAUCAAGUCUGCUGUCAAAGGUUGGGGCUUAACCCCAAAAAGGCAGUGGAAACUGAGAAGCUAGAGUGCAGUAGGGGUAGAGGGAAUUCCCGGUGUAGCGGUGAAAUGCGUAGAGAUCGGGAAGAACAUCGGUGGCGAAAGCGCUCUACUGGACUGCAACUGACACUCAGGGACGAAAGCUAGGGGAGCGAAUGGGAUUAGAUACCCUAGUAGUCC